UAAUACGUAGGGGGCGAGCGUUGUCCGGAAUUACUGGGCGUAAAGGGCGCGCAGGCGGCCCGCUAAGUCCGCUGUGAAAGACCGGGGCUCAACCCCGGGGUGUCAGCGGAGACUGGUGGGCUAGGGUGUCGGAGAGGGAUGCGGAAUACCUGGUGUAGCGGUGGAAUGCGUAGAGAUCAGGUGGAACACCGAUGGCGAAGGCAGCAUCCUGGCCGGAGACCGACGCUGAGGCGCGAAAGCUGGGGGAGCGAACGGGAUUAGAUACCCCGGUAGUCCCAGCCGUAAACGAUGUCGACUAGGUGUGGGGGGAUCACUCCCUCCGUGCCGCAGCUCACGCAUGAAGUCGACCGCCUGGGGAGUACGGCCGCAAGGUUG
This 375-nucleotide ribosomal RNA is filed under the name uncultured bacterium. RNAcentral describes it as "bacterial SSU rRNA". It matches the Rfam family "Bacterial small subunit ribosomal RNA", at positions 521 to 896 of the family's 1533-position model. The record is from RNAcentral.